This 1026-nucleotide long non-coding RNA is filed under the name Ursus maritimus (polar bear). RNAcentral describes it as "lncRNA (ENSUMAG00000011060.1)". The record is from RNAcentral. Lineage: Eukaryota; Metazoa; Chordata; Mammalia; Carnivora; Ursidae.
CACGAGGCAUUUUAUCAAAGGUCUGACGUCAGUAAGUGGCAGAAUAAUAAUUCGAACCAGAGGAUCUAUGUCUAGAACCCACAUUCUGAAACAAGAUACUUUAUUUCUUCUGUGUGUACUUUUUAUAACAUAACAUAUUGUAUAUUACCAUGUAAUAAGAAUAUGUAUCCAUGUAUAUGUACAUAGGUAUGUCUGUAUUUACAGAGGUGUCUGUGUAUAUAUUUCUCCCAAGGUUCUAGAAUGCAUGCUUAGGAUUCAUUACAGGAAAUACUCUAAAUUUGCUUCCUCAAUAGUGCUUCCUGAGAUUCACUGAUUCACAGAUUAAUUCAGCAAGUGUGUACGGACGCUGCACUAGAGACGAGGCAUGUGCGGACCCUGGCGAGGUCAGACACCGGAGACAAGGGUCUUACUUGGGAGCGCCAAUCAGGUCCAUGGGAAGUUGCGGCAGGAAGGCUGGCAUCCUGCAGGCACAGCUACUAACUGUCUGCUGCUUUCUCCUUGUUGUAGGACUGAGGAGUAGAGACAGAUGUGAAAUUUCAAAGAAGUACUGAUGAUAAUCCGGAGUCGUCCUCCAGGCUGGGUGCUACGCAUCUUGGAUUUCUCAUCUCAUCAUCUCACACCAGUCGCUGGGGUGGGAGCACCUCUGCUCCCCAGAAGACAACUCUGGAGAUGCUCCCGCUGACCUCCUCCUCUGACCUCACAGUCGGGGCCCCCGGGGUCUAUGCAAACUCUGGCCUUUGUUGUUGUUGCCAUUUUACCGCAUUUCUCAUGACUGUCAGUUUCUCUCAAGGCUUUGAAUUGUGAAAUUUGGUCCCUGGAUUCAAACAAUAGUAUUUUCAUUGGUUCCUUGGCGAUACUUUUUGUAGUUUACUUUAUCUUUUUUAGAUUCAGAAGGCUUCACCGACUGUUUUCUAAAUACCCUAUAUCUUGUCUACAUAACUCUAUGUAGUUACUGCCUCCUGAACAGAGUCUCUGUACCACAGAAAUCUCCUUUUUAACUAAAUAAAAAAGGGCACAGCCUUGGCA